This 468-nucleotide ribosomal RNA is filed under the name uncultured bacterium. RNAcentral's name for it is "partial 16S ribosomal RNA". It matches the Rfam family "Bacterial small subunit ribosomal RNA", at positions 28 to 507 of the family's 1533-position model. The record is from RNAcentral.
GACGAACGCUGGCGGCGUGCUUAACACAUGCAAGUCGAACGGAAAGGCCCUGCUUUUGUGGGGUGCUCGAGUGGCGAACGGGUGAGUAACACGUGAGUAACCUGCCCUUGACUUUGGGAUAACUUCAGGAAACUGGGGCUAAUACCGGAUAGGAGCUCCUGCUGCAUGGUGGGGGUUGGAAAGUUUCGGCGGUUGGGGAUGGACUCGCGGCUUAUCAGCUUGUUGGUGGGGUAGUGGCUUACCAAGGCUUUGACGGGUAGCCGGCCUGAGAGGGUGACCGGCCACAUUGGGACUGCGAUACGGCCCAGACUCCUACGGGAGGCAGCAGUGGGGAAUAUUGCACAAUGGGCGGAAGCCUGAUGCAGCAACGCCGCGUGCGGGAUGACGGCCUUCGGGUUGUAAACCGCUUUCGCCUGUGCCGAAGCGUGAGUGACGGUAAUGGGUAAAGAAGCACCGGCUAACUACGUG